AUCUCGUAUUGAAGUGUUAUAGCCUCUGAUAGAUGUAACGAUUGGGAUUGAGGAUUGCAACGGAUGUCCUUCGGGGCUAUCCGCCUGAUCUCUGGAAGUCACUUUGGUAUCGAAAGCGUGCUUUCGGUAUUGAGGAUGGUGACCAAAAGGUUAGAGCGUGAUUAAAUUCGUUAAGGAUGUUGACGUAAUGACUUUAAACGA
Molecule: ribosomal RNA, 201 nt
Filed under: Rhizophagus sp. (in: glomeromycetes)
Lineage: Eukaryota; Fungi; Glomeromycota; Glomeromycetes; Glomerales; Glomeraceae
Description: Rhizophagus sp. (in: Fungi) partial large subunit ribosomal RNA
Source: RNAcentral